Caenorhabditis elegans is the source of this 150-nucleotide non-coding RNA. The record is from Ensembl. NCBI's taxonomy places the organism in Eukaryota, Metazoa, Nematoda, Chromadorea, Rhabditida, Rhabditidae.
GAUUGGAAGGGCUGGAAGACGACGGCCGGAUGAUGAUGGUGUAGGGGAUGGGAGUACCGAUUGGAAUACUGAAAAUUUAUAUAUUGAAUAGGUUUGGUGCUAAUUUGAAGUUUGUGAAAAAAAGUGAGAAAAAAAUUUUGAAUUUCAAAA